Molecule: ribosomal RNA, 407 nt
Filed under: uncultured bacterium
Lineage: Bacteria
Description: bacterial SSU rRNA
Rfam family: Bacterial small subunit ribosomal RNA
Source: RNAcentral
AUUGAACGCUGGCGGCAUGCCUUACACAUGCAAGUCGAACGGCAGCACGGGAGCUUGCUCCUGGUGGCGAGUGGCGAACGGGUGAGUAAUACAUCGGAACGUACUCUGAAGUGGGGGAUAACGUAGCGAAAGUUACGCUAAUACCGCAUAUUCUUGUGAGCAGGAAAGAGGGGGAUCGCAAGACCUCUUGCUUUAGGAGCGGCCGAUGUCGGAUUAGCUAGUUGGUGAGGUAAAGGCGUCACCAAGGCGACGAUCCGUAGCGGGUCUGAGAGGAUGAUCCGCCACACUGGGACUGAGACACGGCCCAGACUCCUACGGGAGGCAGCAGUGGGGAAUUUUGGACAAUGGGCGCAAGCCUGAUCCAGCCAUGCCGCGUGAGUGAAGAAGGGCCCUUCGGGUUGGUUAAG